UACGUAGGGGGCGAGCGUUGUCCGGAAUUAUUGGGCGUAAAGGGCGCGUAGGCGGUUUGUCGCGUCGGGUGUGAAAACCUUGGGCUUAACUCAGGGCUUGCUUUCGAUACGGGCAGACUAGAGGUAUGCAGGGGAGAACGGAAUUCCUGGUGUAGCGGUGAAAUGCGCAGAUAUCAGGAGGAACACCGGUGGCGAAGGCGGUUCUCUGGGCAUGAUCUGACGCUGAGACGCGAAAGCGUGGGGAGCAAACAGG
This 253-nucleotide ribosomal RNA is filed under the name uncultured bacterium. Its description in RNAcentral is "partial 16S ribosomal RNA". It matches the Rfam family "Bacterial small subunit ribosomal RNA", at positions 524 to 776 of the family's 1533-position model. The record is from RNAcentral.